RNAcentral lists this transfer RNA (83 nucleotides) under Enterobacter cloacae. RNAcentral describes it as "tRNA-Pro". The record is from RNAcentral. Lineage: Bacteria; Pseudomonadati; Pseudomonadota; Gammaproteobacteria; Enterobacterales; Enterobacteriaceae. RNAcentral also lists the same sequence under 2 other names.
AGGCACAAUGGCGAAAGUUUUUCGCUCCACGCGCCGUCAUGGGGUGUCGGGGGUCGGAGGUUCAAAUCCUCUCGUGCCGACCA